RNAcentral lists this ribosomal RNA (305 nucleotides) under uncultured bacterium. RNAcentral describes it as "partial 16S ribosomal RNA". It matches the Rfam family "Bacterial small subunit ribosomal RNA", at positions 508 to 807 of the family's 1533-position model. The record is from RNAcentral.
ACAGCAGUAGCCGCGGGAAAACGAAGGGUGCAAGCGUUACUCGGAAUUACUGGGCGUAAAGCGUGCGUAGGUGGUGGUUUAAGUCCGUUGUGAAAGCCCUGGGCUCAACCUGGGAAUUGCAGUGGAUACUGGGUCACUAGAGUGUGGUAGAGGAUAGUGGAAUUUCCGGUGUAGCAGUGAAAUGCGUAGAGAUCGGAAGGAACAUCUGUGGCGAAGGCGACUAUCUGGGCCAACACUGACACUGAGGCACGAAAGCGUGGGGAGCAAACAGGAUUAGAUACCCCAGUAGUCCCUGUCUCUUAUAC